GACGAACGCUGGCGGCGCGCUUAACACAUGCAAGUCGAGCGAGAGCCAGGGCUUCGGCUCUGGGGACAGCGGCGAACGGGUGAGUAACACGUGAGUAAUCUGCCCUCGACACUGGGAUAGCCCGGGGAAACCCGGAUUAAUACCGGAUAGCCUUUCGAGCUCUCGGGCUCGUCAGAAAAGGAUGGCUUCGGCUUUCGGUUGAGGAUGAGCUUGCGGCGGAUUAGCUUGUUGGUGAGGUAACGGCUCACCAAGGCGACAAUCCGUAGCUGGUCUGAGAGGACGAUCAGCCACACUGGGACUGAGACACGGCCCAGACUCCUACGGGAGGCAGCAGUGGGGAAUCUUGCGCAAUGAGCGAAAGCUUGACGCAGCGACGCCGCGUGAGGGGAAGAAGGCCU
Molecule: ribosomal RNA, 398 nt
Filed under: uncultured bacterium
Lineage: Bacteria
Description: bacterial SSU rRNA
Rfam family: Bacterial small subunit ribosomal RNA
Source: RNAcentral